GAAGUAAAGUCGUAACAAGGUCUCCGUUGGUGAACCAGCGGAGGGAUCAUUA
This 52-nucleotide ribosomal RNA is filed under the name Ophiostoma minus. RNAcentral describes it as "partial 18S ribosomal RNA". It matches the Rfam family "Eukaryotic small subunit ribosomal RNA", at positions 1779 to 1831 of the family's 1831-position model. The record is from RNAcentral. Lineage: Eukaryota; Fungi; Ascomycota; Sordariomycetes; Ophiostomatales; Ophiostomataceae.